RNAcentral lists this ribosomal RNA (254 nucleotides) under uncultured bacterium. Its description in RNAcentral is "partial 16S ribosomal RNA". It matches the Rfam family "Bacterial small subunit ribosomal RNA", at positions 524 to 776 of the family's 1533-position model. The record is from RNAcentral.
UACGUAGGGUCCAAGCGUUGUCCGGAUUUAUUGGGCGUAAAGAGCUCGUAGGCGGUCUGUCGCGUCGGUCGUGAAAACUUGGGGCUUAACCCUGAGCUUGCGGUCGAUACGGGCAUGACUGGAGUUCGGUAGGGGAGACUGGAAUUCCUGGUGUAGCGGUGAAAUGCGCAGAUAUCAGGAGGAACACCGGUGGCGAAGGCGGGUCUCUGGGCCGAUACUGACGCUGAGGAGCGAAAGCGUGGGGAGCGAACAGG